RNAcentral lists this ribosomal RNA (253 nucleotides) under uncultured bacterium. RNAcentral describes it as "partial 16S ribosomal RNA". It matches the Rfam family "Bacterial small subunit ribosomal RNA", at positions 524 to 776 of the family's 1533-position model. The record is from RNAcentral.
UACGAAGGGGGCUAGCGUUGUUCGGAAUUACUGGGCGUAAAGCGCGCGCAGGCGGUUCUUCAAGUCAGAGGUGAAAGCCCAGGGCUCAACCCUGGAAUGGCCUUUGAGACUAGAGGACUAGGGUACGGGAGAGGUGAGUGGAAUUCCGAGUGUAGAGGUGAAAUUCGUAGAUAUUCGGAAGAACACCAGUGGCGAAGGCGGCUCUCUGGGACGGUACUGACGCUGAGACGCGAAAGCGUGGGGAGCGAACAGG